GAUGAACGCUGGCGGCAUGCCUAAGACAUGCAAGUCGAGGGGCAGCAUGGUGGAUGCUUGCAUUCACCGAUGGCGACCGGCGCAAGGGUGCGUAACGCGUGAGCAACUUGCCCGUCUCAGGGGGAUAACCGGUGGAAACGCCGACUAAUACCCCAUAGCAUCAUGAUUAGGCAUCUUUUCAUGAUUAAAGAAUUUCGGAAACGGAUAGGCUCGCGUGACAUUAGCUAGAUGGCGGGGUAACGGCCCACCAAGACCGCGAUCGGUAGCCGGACUGAGAGGUUGAACGGCCACAUUGGGACUGAGACACGGCCCAGACUCCUACGGGAGGCAGCAGUGGGGGAUAUUGCGCAAUGGGGGGCAACCCUGACGCAGCAACGCCGCGUGAAGGAUGAAGGUCUUCGGGAUUGUAAACUUCUUUUAUUAAGGACGAACAAAUGACGGUACUUAAUGAAUAAGCUCCGGCUACUACGUG
This 472-nucleotide ribosomal RNA is filed under the name uncultured bacterium. RNAcentral describes it as "bacterial SSU rRNA". It matches the Rfam family "Bacterial small subunit ribosomal RNA", at positions 28 to 507 of the family's 1533-position model. The record is from RNAcentral.